GUCCAUGAAUCCGUGGGACCUGUCUCCUAUGGCAGCCUCCCUUCCUAGCCAUGGAAGAGCAGCGUCUUGCUUUUUGGCAAAGCUUUCACUGUCUUAAUUGGUGAAAGUAUCUGACUGGAGCAAGUAACACGU
RNAcentral lists this small nucleolar RNA (132 nucleotides) under Chelonoidis abingdonii (Abingdon island giant tortoise). RNAcentral describes it as "Small nucleolar RNA SNORA24 (ENSCABG00000005816.1)". It matches the Rfam family "Small nucleolar RNA SNORA24". From Rfam's summary of the family: ACA24 is a member of the H/ACA class of snoRNA that guide the sites of modification of uridines to pseudouridines. Lineage: Eukaryota; Metazoa; Chordata; Testudines; Testudinidae. The record is from Rfam by way of RNAcentral.